Molecule: non-coding RNA, 94 nt
Organism: Mycena latifolia
Lineage: Eukaryota; Fungi; Basidiomycota; Agaricomycetes; Agaricales; Mycenaceae
Source: the annotation of a GenBank genome assembly
GCGGACGUGGUGCACGGCGCACUACUGCCUCCAAUUUGUAUGCUGCAAUGUAGAUUGUAAGCAGUCAAACGGGGUUCGACUCCCCGCGUCCGUC